AAUCUAUUAUUUUUCACUUUCUGUCCUGUAUUGACAACUGCUGGAGAUAUCAAGGAUUCUGGGUUGCAGAAUUCCUGUUAACAUUGUUGGAGCAAGGAAUAUGGUGUAUUUUGAGGAUUUAGUGUUAAGCAAUGAAGAAAACUUCCAGGGAAAUCUUGUUCCCAAUUAAACAUGGUGUAUUGAACUAAUUAAGGGCUAAUGAUGCUUAACCUGCAUGAUUUACAUGGACUUUCUUUAAUUAUGUUUUACUAAGUUUAGUACUCCAACUAAAACUUGAUGUUGUAAUAAACUGGGUUGUGUUUUGAACUAAAUUUGGAUGGUUUGAUCUAAUUUGCUUUAUAUUCA
Molecule: long non-coding RNA, 345 nt
Organism: Ipomoea nil (Japanese morning glory)
Lineage: Eukaryota; Viridiplantae; Streptophyta; Magnoliopsida; Solanales; Convolvulaceae
Exons: 3
Source: RefSeq, a predicted model, not a curated record